RNAcentral lists this unclassified non-coding RNA (4313 nucleotides) under Hevea brasiliensis (rubber tree). The record is from RNAcentral. Lineage: Eukaryota; Viridiplantae; Streptophyta; Magnoliopsida; Malpighiales; Euphorbiaceae.
UUUUAAGAAAAAAAUUUAUUCCAGCCAAUAAAAGAAAACAAUUCCCUACAUGCUUGAGAUUUGACCACUCAUGGGUAAGAAACAGAGCAAAUUAUGCUUUGUAACUGUACUACGGUGAUCCAUGUUGUAAGUUAUUAUAGCAAAAAGAUAUUCUAAUAACAGAUAGCAAUGAAAGCCCACUUACAUUUUUAGCAUAGAACUAAUGAUUUAGGAAACAUAAAGCAAAAAUAUUCACCUGAAAUAUCAAGACCUCAAAGAUCCAUAAAUCCCUAAGAAAGUUCAAAUCCAGUGUUGGAACUUAUUGCAUAUAGAAGUUUUGCUCUCAAAGUGCUUGCUCGCUUGUAUGUUGGAAGCUUAAGAGUAUUGUAGCACGUAGAAGCUGAUGGAAGCCGCUCCACAUCUUGUCCUCCAAUUGUUGCCAAAAGAGAGGCAUCACAUGCAACCUUAUGGAUAGUAAAGGAUGGCUGCAAGUGUUUGAACCCAAGUAAUGGAGCUCGAGAACAGCUGGUCACAAAUUUUACCAGCAUACAUCGUUCCUUUGGUUCAAAUCCUUUAAUUACCUCCCAGAAAAGUUUGAUUGUCCGACUCCCCUCAGAGUAGCCACCUGUGUAACGUGUGUUAUUUCUUAAGUCAUCAACAUCAAUGUCAAAGUCACCACCUGAAAGUAACUGAUUGAAUUCGCUUGCAUUAAACAACUUUAACCAAGAUGGGGAUAUGAGAUCCGUUAGUCCCCUGUAAAAUGCAUUUGAAUAGGGUAAUAUCUGUCGAUUGAGUUUAUAAUCUGCCAUUGCAUGAACAUACUGCAUCUUAUUCUCAUUUGUCACACAAACAUUCUUGCCACCAGGUUUAAGCUCGAUAACAUAAUGUUUACCAAAUGAUUCUUCUGUAAGUGUGAAGUCCAGAGAGAGAUCCUUGAUAUCACCAUCAUAAUGCUUCACAUACAUGAGAUUCCUGUACAGCUCUGGAUCAAGUGUUGAUAGUUCAUCAAGAAAGCUAUAUCGGCCUAACAGCUUUUGUACAAAAACGUGUGAAAAAGAGUAAUCCAGCAAUAUUCCUUCAUAAAGAGCUUUCCCAACAACUCUUCCAAGAAAUUCAAUCAUCUGGAUACCAUUCUCCAGAUAUCUUGCAGUUGGAUUAGGGAUUAAAAAUCUGUCUGAUGUUAAUGUUUGGGAGAAUAGGCCAUACCUUAAACCACAAUAGUAUGGAAAUAGCAUAAAACACUACUUGUGGGAAAGCAGAUAAUGAAAAAGAACCAAUAUGGAGACACCAGAAUAAACUUACUCAGGAGAAAAGGCUGCUUUUGAUAUAUCGGUUAAAAACUCCUUUGAUAAUCCACCAUAAUCCAAGCCUGCCUCUGGAACACCGCAUUCACUAACAAAUGAAACAUGAAUGGAUGACUUCAAUCUUGAUCCAAGAGUAUUUAGUUGCCGAAAUCCAUCUUCAACAAUAUGACCCCGCCGAAUUACAAUCUCAACUGCUCGUGAACCAGGUCCAGUGACUUCACCGGCCAUUUUUCGAGAUACUUUACCCAUGUUGAUAAACUCUCGAAACAUCUGAACUCUUUCUUCGAAUGGAUAUACAUGUGGAGUUAUAGUGAUUACAGAACCCACACUUGGCACAGUCAAAGCAUCAUCUAAUUUUGUAUUAGACAACACAAUUUCAUGAGUUCUGGCAGCAACUGCAAUUGGGGGUCGGCUCUUUCUAGCAGGUGAAAGCCACAAAACAGGAGGACAAAACUGGUGCCUGCAAUCCCUUUCAUACAUCAAAUGCGAACAUCUGAUUGCAGAAUCCAUAAGAGGUCUAGUCAGCUGAACUGUACCAUGGGCCAAGCCAUUGUACACUAAUGUAUUGAGCACUGAUGCAAUUCUUCGUUGCUGCUCCAGCUUGAAUGGGACCUGUUUUUCAUAGAACUCAAUGUCAUCAAGAACUAAAAGCAGGUGUGAGUAUGAUGCACAGAACAGGUGAAGCAAACAUGAAAUAUCUUUCGAAAUUUUUUGUGGACCACAUGUCAACGGUUCUACAGCCCAAACAUCUUGCAAAUCUUCAUCCACCUGUGAAGUAGGUUGCCCAUCAACUGAAUCUGUAUAGUCAACACCAGCUUGGGACUUUCCACUAAUUUUAUGGAGAAUAUUGGUCCAUUUAUUACCUCCUCCCUUAUUAAGCUGCUUUUGUUUUUUAUCACCUCUAACUUUUUUAUUCCCCAAAAUUUUACUAGUGGAAAAAUCAUGAUCAGCACAAAUGUCCCCCUUUCUAGGAAAAAGUAAACUUUCCAAUGCUUCCCACAGAGUGACAAGAUAGCCAGGAGUAAAUGAUAGCAUAUUAAGAACAGGCAACGGGCCAUGAGUAGGGUUCAAGAUUGAAAAUAUCCUGAGAAUGUAAGAAUAGAAAUAUGCAAUAUCAAGCAGUUCCAGCUUCCUUAAGUAUUUAGGAUUUUGCGCGUCAUCUGUAUGAACAUAGGCAGCAGUCUUUGAGAUUGAUAGAAGUUUUGAAAGAUGCCACUGCUGACAAACAGGACUCAGUAGGUCUACAUAAGACAUUUUUAAGGUACAUAUAGUCUCGUUCUCAUAUGAAACUUUACCAACAGGCUCUGCAGAAGUUUCAGCAUUAACCUGAGGAAAUUGAUUCUCCUUUUCAGGCCAUCCACUGUUGUCAAGCCAUGACAAUAAGCUCUCAGCAAGAAUGAUCACAACAUGGACAUAGAAUGCAUAGUCUAGACUUUGAUUGAGCCCUCCAGGAUCCAGAAAGUCAUUCUCACUCCCAGUAAAAAGGCAAAUAAUGUUUGAAAGAGCCCAACCAACUGCUGGAAUCACCUUUGAAGAAUGCUGCUCAAUUUUCAAAUGAUCUAUCUGGGAUAUCUCUUUUAGUAUAUUAUCUCUCAAAAUCAGUAGAGUCUGGAGGCAUGGUAAAAGAAUAGACUUGUGCUUCAAAGCAGAAACAAGUACAGCUGGGAGACGUUGAGUAAGCAUGGGAAUUGUAAGCAGAAACAAACAGUACUGCCCAGCAGCAGAAUGCAUGUCCAGCAGGUCUAGGCCAGUUAAUUGAAAAUUUGUUGCAUGAAACGGCCGUAAAGCUAAAGUUACUGCAGUUGUGGUGAUCAAGAAUUUAUCAUCUGUCUGAACCAUAGUUUUUGUUUGUGAAAUAACAGGAAUAUCCAAUUUGUUAAUGUAUCUUCUGAUGGAUAUGUAGAGACCACUUUCACAGCUUCCCAUAAACCCAACCAAAUCAUUUACUGUUGCAUCUGCAUCUUUAAGACUAUUGUUGGUAAUACUUUUCCAACCUUUCAGAUCAGUUAACACAACAAGAAAACGCAUUGCAAGAGCAGUAAUUAAAAGAAUAUCUUGUCCCCCAGUAUGAGAUUUAUCACACUCGGCAAGGAGAAAUAAGCAGAGAGAAAUCAGCUUCUUUGAUUGAUAUGUCCAGAUUCUCCUCUCUUCAAGUGUACCCAAAGCUAGGGAGCAAAAGUUCUGUCUUGAAUCAGCAGAAUUUAUGCUUUCCAACAUAAUCUUAAAGCAGGCCUGCAUACAGUUUACAUCUCUGGUGCAAAUCUUCCCAUGCUUAGUGGAUAAACAUGCAAUGAAGAAAAGAAAAGGUCUCAAAAGCCUGCUGGAAACCCAGCUGGCAGUUAUUGAACCAUCAUGACGAUACACCAUGUUUUCCCAUUCUUCUUGAAGCUGCAGAGCUACCUUCUUUGUCACAAUAUAGCGCCUCCAUACUCUCUGUAAAAACAAACAAACUAGGUCCUUCUGACAUUCUUACAUUAAACCCUUACUUAUGAAGCAUCAUUGCAAAUUAAGCUCCUUUUUUUUCUCAAAUCAUAACAACAGGAUUACCAAUCACAAAAGUAAACAAAAUAACAAUUGUGCACUGAUACCAUAUUGAAAAAUGAAGAGAGAAGAGUUUAUUGAACUGCAUGAAUUACAAAUGUAGCUGAAUAAGCUUAUAUAUACAGUAAUCAGCUGCUAAACCAAGAACUGCUCUCUAACUAAAUUGCUAACAGAAAGGACAUGUGGCGUUACCAUCUAACCAAGCAUGCAAUAAUAACAAAAAAAAAAACACCCAUAAUAGCUAUAAUUACAAUAAAAUGAAGCACCUGGGCAAAGAUAGCAGCAGCAGUAGCUCGUCUAGCAUAACUACGGCGUUCUCUUUCAUGGGAGACCCUCUCAAGAAGGGCGUUCCUCGAUAUCUCUCUCGCACUUGCUCCCCUUAAGGACACCUGAUGCUUGCGAGGUUCGUCCAUGGAGCUAAUAUGAGUACGGCAUAUGAUUGAUAAGGGAAAAAGCUUAGAGAUGUCAACGAGGGUUUUAAUGGCUGAU